Molecule: long non-coding RNA, 631 nt
Organism: Monodelphis domestica (gray short-tailed opossum)
Lineage: Eukaryota; Metazoa; Chordata; Mammalia; Didelphimorphia; Didelphidae
Source: RefSeq, a predicted model, not a curated record
GAUGGUGACGGGCUGUGCAAGGUGUGACAGACCCAUCCCAGCCAGCUGCAGCCUCCGCUAUCCCAGACAGCACUAUACAGGCUAAACUCCCCAUGAACAUGCCAUAGAGAACUCUCUGAGAGGUGACUAGGGAGAGAUGAAGAUUGGUGGCUGCAUCUGGCCAACAAUAUCUGCGUUUGGGGCUUCACUUCUUGCCUUCGGCUAAAGAACGUCAAACUUCAUAAAGGCUUAUUACCAAUGGUUCCCAUCAGAAUUGGAGCAUGGGUAUUUCCCAGAGAAUGCCUUUCCUUUCCCACAAAGGUAUGGAAAAGCUUUGGGGGAAGGAUUUAUUCACACCCUUUCAAGAAGGGUGAGAAGUACAUUCUUACCUCAUUUGCUCUCUCAGUCCAAAGUGGGCCUCCAAAAUCACUAAGCUUUUGACUCCACAUUUGUGCUCUUUUUGUUGAGAUUGUCAACAUUAUGCAAGUUGACUUCCUAUUUCUUCUUACUUCAUUUUCUAUUCAAAGAUUAAAUUCUUUGGGUUAAGGAGAUCUCAGGGAUCCUAUAAUCCAAAUCUCUUGUUUUAAAAAUAAAAGAAACUGAAACUCAGAGAUGCUGAUACAAUUAAUCAGCAGAAGAGCCAAGAGCAGAA